RNAcentral lists this long non-coding RNA (653 nucleotides) under Homo sapiens (human). RNAcentral describes it as "HSALNT0295683". Lineage: Eukaryota; Metazoa; Chordata; Mammalia; Primates; Hominidae. The record is from RNAcentral.
CCCGCCGGCCCUGUAGGACCCAGGGGGAUCCACAGCCCAGUUCCCAUUGAUGAUGGACCGGCCCCCAGGGCCACGAAGUGCUGCGGGUCAGAGACUCCACAGCCAUCAGGACGCCUGCCAGAGCCAAGGAUCCCAUCACAGCCGGGGCUCUGGAGAGAGUGAGGUGAGGCAGUGGCCACAGAACGCCAGACACCACCUCAACCCCACCCCGGUCCCCUCGGGAGCCUCAGCUCACUACCCUGCUUUUUGUGCCACAAGUGAGAGCACAAAAACAGCCCCACCAUCCCCAGCCAGACCCAGGGACAUGGACAGGUGCCCGAUCAGAUCCUUCAGGCUCUGCUCAGCGCAGCUUGGCAGACCACUCACCACCUGUGCUGUCUCCUGACCCAGCCCCAGGGAGAAGAAAGAAGGCAUGGCGCAGGGGAAGCAGAGGGGCUGGAAGUCAUUCAGGGCUGGGAGUAAGCAGGUGUCUGAAGAGAGUGUCCGGACAACACCUAUAUAGAGAAAAAGGUCAGACAGAAUUGGAAGGAUUAGAGGGAACUGUCCAGAGUGUCCAUGUAGACCAACACUGAGGCUCACGGAGUCGCUACCAGUCCAAGGUCACAUUCAGCAGCAGAGGGAGAACUACACCUCGGCCUCUUGGUGUUAUGAGG